RNA transcript from Fundulus heteroclitus (mummichog), 2116 nucleotides. It is a transcript of the gene named acyl-CoA dehydrogenase short chain, with no coding region annotated. NCBI's taxonomy places the organism in Eukaryota, Metazoa, Chordata, Actinopteri, Cyprinodontiformes, Fundulidae. The record is from RefSeq and is a predicted model, not a curated record. The transcript has 11 exons.
GUCAAUAAUUGUUACGAUAGAACAUGAAGGCAACACGGUGUUUCAUAAAUUUUCAAUUGGGGCUUGUAUCGUGAGGAAGCUGCCAUGUCUGCACUUUUUAAAGCCAGAAAACCUCUAGGCUUGUGUCUCAACGGCUGCCGGAGUCUGUCUCAGCUGGCGGAGCUGCCGGAGACUCAUCAGUUAAUGAGGCAGACCUGCAGAGACUACGCAGACAGGGAGCUGACCCCCAUCGCUGGCAAACUGGACAAAGAGCAUGUUUACCCUGCUAAACAGAUAAAGGAGCUGGGGGCGAUGGGUGUGAUGGCCAUAGAGGUCCCAGAGGAGCUCGGCGGAGCAGGGAUGGACUACCUGGCCUACAGUUUGGCCAUGGAGGAAAUAAGCAGAGGCUGUGCCAGCACGGGCGUCGUGGUCUCCGUUAACAAUUCUCUCUACAUCGGGCCAGUUCUGAAAUUUGGCUCAGAAGAGCAGAAGAAGGAAUGGAUCACCCCAUUCACUACUGGAGAGAAGGUGGGCUGCUUUGCCCUCAGUGAGCCAGGAAACGGCAGCGAUGCAGGCGCCGCCUCCACCACGGCCCGGCAGGAGGGAGAGGAGUGGGUGCUGAACGGAACCAAAGCCUGGAUCACCAACAGCUGGGACGCCUCCGCUACGGUCGUGUUCGCCACCACAGACAAGAAACUCAAGCACAAGGGAAUCAGCGCCUUCCUCAUCCCCAUGCCGCACCCUGGACUUUCUCUGGGGAAAAAGGAGGACAAGCUGGGCAUCAAAGCCUCGUCCACUGCUAACAUCAUACUGGAGGACUGCAGAAUCCCUCUAAACAACAUGUUGGGGCCCCGCGGUGCUGGAUUCAAAAUUGCUAUGCAAACCCUGGACAGUGGACGGAUUGGCAUCGCAGCUCAGGCUCUCGGCAUCGCUCAGGCUUCUCUGGACUGCGCCGCCGACUACGCCCACAAGCGAACUGCAUUCGGCGCGCCCAUCGGCAAGCUGCAGGCGAUACAGUUCAAACUGGCAGACAUGGCGGUGGCAAUAGAGAGCGCUCGUCUGCUCACCUGGAAAGCUGCUAUUCUUCGAGAUGCAAAGAAACCCUUUACUAAGGAAGCAGCCAUGGCUAAACUGGCAGCGUCCGAGGCCGCCACUUUCUGCUCCCAUCAGGCCAUCCAGAUCCUGGGUGGGAUGGGUUACGUGGCAGACAUGCCCGCUGAGAGACACUACCGCGACGCUCGCAUCACAGAGAUCUACGAGGGCACCAGUGAGAUCCAGAGGCUGGUCAUCGCCGGUCAGAUAAUGAAGGAAUACCGGCUAUAGAUGCUCUUUUGGGUGUGACUUUGCCCCUAAUGGACACUUAAUUCUGGAUCAAAUGCAGUUUUACACUUUCUUCAGUGUUUAAAGGCCUUUAUGUUGAUGUGAGCUGAGGCUUGAAGAGAAGAUUCAGGUGGUUUGAACCCUGCAAGACCUCUACAGUCUCAUGUCUGCAAGAAAUUCUGGCAUUGAAUGAAACACACUGGAAGUUAACUAGGAGAAAAAUCUUCCUUGUUGCCUUAAGUAGGAAGUCAUACCUCAAAGUUUAACUGGCCAGGUCUCACAUAUAGGAAAUCAGGGCAUCCUUUCUCCAAGGUUCAUCUUUUCUAAAUGCAGUAAUUAAAAUAAUAUUUUAAUAUAGAUGUUUCUAAGAUAUGUUGACUUUCUGUGCAUCAUCCUGUUUGCCAAAGUAUUCCCAGAAUGCCUGCUCAGCGUUGUGCGUGCAUUUUAUUCUACUUUAGCAUAUCACUGAAAGGCAGCCGCUCAUCAUGUGCCAUUCAGAGGUUCCACCACCAGGGGGCUACAGAGUGCCUUCAUGCAUCUUGACCCAUUUCUGCAUUCUUCCAUCAGGACUGAUUGUGUAACAAGCAAACCGUGAUCACACCUGCACAUCAUCAGAAUGUUUAGUUCUCGGGGUGGCAAACGGAUGGCUGCGCUAAACGUGCUCUAAUGGAGACAGUUUUGGUUCAUUAUAUGAAGGUGUGUGAUGACGCACAACGUGCCGGCCUCACACAGCUGUCCACGCUCAGCAUGUACAUAUUUGGUUGUAAUUUAUUGCGUUCAGACGUUAGUAGAAAAAUAAAAACCUGCAAACCCACCA